This 40-nucleotide ribosomal RNA is filed under the name Heterodermia sp. Hur 040107. Its description in RNAcentral is "partial 18S ribosomal RNA". The record is from RNAcentral. Lineage: Eukaryota; Fungi; Ascomycota; Lecanoromycetes; Caliciales; Physciaceae.
AGGGUUUUCCGAAGGUGAAACCUUGCCGGAAAGGAAUCAU